Molecule: transfer RNA, 73 nt
Filed under: Felis catus (domestic cat)
Lineage: Eukaryota; Metazoa; Chordata; Mammalia; Carnivora; Felidae
Also listed under: 4 other names
Rfam family: tRNA
About the family: Transfer RNA (tRNA) molecules are approximately 80 nucleotides in length. Their secondary structure includes four short double-helical elements and three loops (D, anti-codon, and T loops).
Source: Rfam by way of RNAcentral
ACCAGGCUGGCUUAGUUGGUAGAGCGUGUGACUCUUGAUCUCAGGGUUGUGAGUUCGAGCCCCACAUUGGGUA